RNAcentral lists this transfer RNA (93 nucleotides) under Cupriavidus pampae. Its description in RNAcentral is "tRNA-Ser". Lineage: Bacteria; Pseudomonadati; Pseudomonadota; Betaproteobacteria; Burkholderiales; Burkholderiaceae. The record is from RNAcentral.
CUGUCGCUGGCCGAGACGGUCGUGGAGGGCGGUUCGAGCCCGUAGACCGGAUUCAGAUAGCUGAAGCGGCUGAUCGUUGCCUGCCGCAGCAGG